UACAAAAUCCCGCCGGAGGAAAUGUCUGGUAUCUAUGAGAUACCGUGUAAAUCUUGCCCGGCGGUGUACAUUGGUCAAACCCGGCGAAAAUUUAAAGUACGUUUGAGGGAACACAGGAACGCCAUGGAAAACAACAGACCCAACGAAUCAAGUGUUGCAGUUCACUCUACGGGACAAAACCAUCAAAUCGAUUGGGACAACGCGAAACUCAGAAAGUGUGUCAGGAAGGCUUCCCAUUUAAAUGCAUGGGAAUCCAUGUUUAUUCACACUGCUGAGCCGCCGCUGAUGAAUGAAUUUGAAGCUCCAACUAUAUCGCCUUUGUUCAACUUGACGAAGAAUAACAUCUACUGAUUCUAUUUCUCUCCGACGUGUACGACAACAGUACGAAGCUGUUUUUUGUUUUGUGUAAUCAGUUGGACAUCGUCCCGUAGAUGGGCAGUAUCGAGCCCGAAACCGGUCGACUAAAAAAGAAACUGCAGUAGAAUUGAUGAAAACGACACUCGACUAUUGCAAUUGAAAAUCACAUGGUUUGUUUACAUUUCCCUCAUACAACCAUGAAAUCCGUUAGACUGCGACACCAUACCUUGUAUGUCCCGAAUUAAACGUGUCGCAUUACAGGUAUGUUUUUCAACUAGAAAAUGUUUAUUCCUAUCGUUUCAAGAUGUUUUCCCCGCGUUUCAUAUAUGGACUGAUGAAUUAUUAACAAAAAAGUGUCACAAGUGCCAAUCAGUCACAACCGAAUGCUCCGGAUCGGGUGCUUAUGGAAGCCGAAGAAUCGCUCAAAAAGAUGAGGAGAAAAUGAGCAAAAGACGCGUGUUAUGGACAAGGCUUCGAUGACCCACACACGACGGGUGGAACAGUUCGACCAACGUCUGGACAGCCUAACGGAACACUUCGACAUAUCCGAGAGUAUUCUGGACAAAAUAAACUCCCAUCCAACAAAUGCUUCAUAUCGAUUGUAAUCCCGAUAAGGGAUUUUUAUUUAAAAUUUGGCAGCAUUAACUUGUCAAUUAAUUUUAACAUUGAUAGAACUACCAUAUUAUAAUAAUUGGAAAAAAUCUUCAUUCUCACCAGAUUGAAUUUUAUAUGAAAAUUGU
Long non-coding RNA from Toxorhynchites rutilus septentrionalis, 1097 nucleotides. RefSeq lists it as uncharacterized. The record is from RefSeq and is a predicted model, not a curated record. Lineage: Eukaryota; Metazoa; Arthropoda; Insecta; Diptera; Culicidae. The transcript is spliced from 4 exons.